GGACGCAGCAGGCAAAACAACAGUCCUCUACAAACUCAGACUUGGUGAAGUUGUCACAACUAUUCCAACUAUUGGUUUUAAUGUGGAGACAGUUGAUUAUAAAAACAUCUCCUUCACUGUUUGGGAUAUUGGUGGUCAGAGUUUAAUUCGAGGCCUCUGGAGACAUUACUAUCACAACACACAGGGCCUGAUCUUUGUGGUGGACAGCAGUGAUC
Molecule: long non-coding RNA, 215 nt
Organism: Sinocyclocheilus rhinocerous
Lineage: Eukaryota; Metazoa; Chordata; Actinopteri; Cypriniformes; Cyprinidae
Exons: 3
Source: RefSeq, a predicted model, not a curated record